Molecule: long non-coding RNA, 220 nt
Filed under: Ananas comosus (pineapple)
Lineage: Eukaryota; Viridiplantae; Streptophyta; Magnoliopsida; Poales; Bromeliaceae
Description: long non-coding RNA (ACOM_LNC017279)
Source: RNAcentral
UAAUCCAAUCUACCUCUAACAUUUUGUUAUUGAAUUAUAUCAGUUGAUCCAAAAUAUUUAAUUCUAGUUAUUUGUACUAAUAUAUUAUUUAUAUAUAAAAUUCUCGCAAACAUUCACAUUUGUAGAUAUAGAAUUAUUGGAGUGCCACAAAUUUCUCAGUCGUACUAGUUUGAAUCUAACAAGUUGUUAGUAGUAUUAGUGAGCUUAAUCAUUAUACAUU